Molecule: transfer RNA, 75 nt
Filed under: Bacillus subtilis
Lineage: Bacteria; Bacillati; Bacillota; Bacilli; Caryophanales; Bacillaceae
Description: tRNA-Gly
Rfam family: tRNA
About the family: Transfer RNA (tRNA) molecules are approximately 80 nucleotides in length. Their secondary structure includes four short double-helical elements and three loops (D, anti-codon, and T loops).
Source: RNAcentral
GCGGAAGUAGUUCAGUGGUAGAACACCACCUUGCCAAGGUGGGGGUCGCGGGUUCGACUCCCGUCUUCCGCUCCA